Molecule: ribosomal RNA, 253 nt
Filed under: uncultured bacterium
Lineage: Bacteria
Description: partial 16S ribosomal RNA
Rfam family: Bacterial small subunit ribosomal RNA
Source: RNAcentral
UACAGAGGUCUCAAGCGUUGUUCGGAUUCAUUGGGCGUAAAGGGUGUGUAGGUGGCGCGCUAAGUCGGGUGUGAAAUUUCGGAGCUUAACUCCGAAACUGCAUUCGAUACUGGCGUGCUUGAGGACUGGAGAGGAGACUGGAAUUUACGGUGUAGCGGUGAAAUGCGUAGAUAUCGUAAGGAAGACCAGUGGCGAAGGCGGGUCUCUGGACAGUUCCUGACACUGAGACACGAAGGCCAGGGGAGCAAACGGG